Camelus ferus (Wild Bactrian camel) is the source of this 72-nucleotide transfer RNA. It matches the Rfam family "tRNA". From Rfam's summary of the family: Transfer RNA (tRNA) molecules are approximately 80 nucleotides in length. Lineage: Eukaryota; Metazoa; Chordata; Mammalia; Artiodactyla; Camelidae. The record is from Rfam.
GAGGGUAUAGCUCAGUGGCAGAGUGUAUGCCCAGCAUGCACAGGGUCCUAGGUUCAAUCCCCAGUACCUCCA